RNAcentral lists this small RNA (828 nucleotides) under Pongo abelii (Sumatran orangutan). RNAcentral describes it as "processed transcript". Lineage: Eukaryota; Metazoa; Chordata; Mammalia; Primates; Hominidae. The record is from RNAcentral.
GUGGAGAGCGCUGGGAGCGGUUGCGGCGUGCGGGGAGCUGAGGUAUAGCUGUGACUUCUGCCCUGCCAGGCCGCGCACGAGCUGGCUGACCCGGUUUGUAAAAAUGGAAUUUCAAGCAGUAGUGAUGGCAGUAGGUGGAGGAUCUCGGAUGACAGACCUAACUUCCAGCAUUCCCAAACCUCUGCUUCCAGUUGGGAACAAACCUUUAAUUUGGUACCCAUUGAACCUGCUUGAGCGUGUUGGAUUUGAAGAAGUCAUUGUGGUUACAACCAGGGAUGUUCAAAAGGCUCUAUGUGCAGAAUUCAAGAUGAAAAUGAAGCCAGAUAUUGUGUGUAUUCCUGAUGAUGCUGACAUGGGAACUGCAGAUUCUUUGCGCUACAUAUAUCCAAAACUUAAGCUACCCAAACCUCUUUCCCUGACUUAUCAAGAGAGAUUAUUGGUUCAUUCAUUCUCCCAGGCCCUGGACAGAUGUGCUGGUGCUGAGCUGUGAUCUGAUAACAGACGUUGCCUUACAUGAGGUUGUGGACCUGUUUAGAGCUUAUGAUGCAUCACUUGCUAUGUUGAUGAGAAAAGGCCAAGAUAGCUUAGAACCUGUUCCCGGUCAAAAGGGGAAAAAAAAAGCAGUACCUGGCCCAGUUAUGUCCCAUGGUGAGCAAUCAAUAAAUAUUAUUGAAUGGCCUGCUUAUAAAGGCAGCUCUUCUUGCCCCCCACCCCAGUGGAGCAGCGUGACUUCAUUGGAGUGGACAGCACAGGAAAGAGGCUGCUCUUUAUGGCUAAUGAAGCAGACUUGGAUGAAGAGCUGGUCAUUAAGGGAUCCAUCCUACAGAA